This 995-nucleotide long non-coding RNA is filed under the name Sus scrofa (pig). RNAcentral's name for it is "lncRNA (ENSSSCG00015005291.1)". Lineage: Eukaryota; Metazoa; Chordata; Mammalia; Artiodactyla; Suidae. The record is from RNAcentral.
GUUUACUGGAGGCUUAGCCAAAGCUUUUCCCUUCUCAGUUUUCAGUGCCCCAGAUUCCCAAGACAGAUGAGCAGGAGGAAGGAAUCCAAACUUCUAGAAACAGCUCAUCUUCCCUUGUGCUUGCAGCACUGGGUGCUUGGUGUGGGCUGGUGGCGUGUGUGUGUGUGUGUGUGUGUGUGUGUGUGCAGGAAUAUGCAGACCUCAGGGUUUCUAAGUGCCCGGCCAUGGUCUGGUCUUGAUUAGGCAGGCGGAGGGAAGUGGGUCCACAGCAGCGAUCAGAGCUGCUGCAUCCAGCUGUGAGGCUGCAGAGCCAGAAACGCGUGCGACCUGAAAGGGAACACAUUUCUAGAGGGCCUCGGGCCAAGGUGGAGGUGAUGAGGGCAGGAUGUGGAGGCCAGCGGAGGACAAGUGCUGACUGGCAUGGGGAUGCUACGGGUGGGGGGACGGUCAGGAAUUAGCAGCUGAUUUCAAGCGUUGGGAGGAGGUGCGGAGACAAGGAGGCAGCGGCUGGGGUGAUUCCAGAGUAAUUAGGGUGGAAAAUUCUGGAGCAUCCUCGUUGCUUCCCUCAGGACAGAGGCUGCGCUUUUCUCAGCUCUGUCCUGGCAGCGGCUGGCGGAGCAUGUGUGGGCUUCAUUGAAUACGCUGCCCGAGUGUCUUGCAGCUUUUCCCAGGCAUCUUCUGUGUCUCCCUGUCGCCACGGCUGCAACUUCGACAACUGAGUUCUCUUGCUCUGGCUGCAUUUCAGGACAAGAGCAUGCCUGCCUGAGGUGCCUAGAAUCCUGGCUGGACCCCAAACACUGCAGAUUACUUGGUUUCUGUCCAAGGACAGCCCCAAUGGCCUGGACAGGGCUUAGCACAAUUCCUAAUGUACAUCAGACCCUAAAGGAAGUGUGUGCUGUGAGGACAGCCUGAUGAAAUCCUGGCACAGGAAGGAGAGGCAGUACAGGACUGUGGUUUCUGAGCCAAACUGGUGACACAAGACUCGAGCCCUGGUC